GACGAACGCUGGCGGCGUGCCUAAUACAUGCAAGUAGAACGCACAGUUUAUACCGUAGCUUGCUACACCAUAGACUGUGAGUUGCGAACGGGUGAGUAACGCGUAGGUAACCUGCCUGGUAGCGGGGGAUAACUAUUGGAAACGAUAGCUAAUACCGCAUAAUAUUGAUUAUUGCAUGAUAAUUAAUUGAAAGGUGCAAUUGCACCACUACCAGAUGGACCUGCGUUGUAUUAGCUAGUAGGUGAGGUAACGGCUCACCUAGGCGACGAUACAUAGCCGACCUGAGAGGGUGAUCGGCCACACUGGGACUGAGACACGGCCCAGACUCCUACGGGAGGCAGCAGUAGGGAAUCUUAGGCAAUGGACGAAAGUCUGACCGAGCAACGCCGCGUGAGUGAAGAAGGUUUUCGGAUCGUAAAGCUCUGUUGUAAGAGAAGAACGGGUGUGAGAGUGGAAAGUUCACACUGUGACGGUAUCUUACCAGAAAGGGACGGCUAACUACGUG
Molecule: ribosomal RNA, 505 nt
Filed under: uncultured bacterium
Lineage: Bacteria
Description: partial 16S ribosomal RNA
Rfam family: Bacterial small subunit ribosomal RNA
Source: RNAcentral